GUGAGCCAGCCAGGAGUGAAGACGACAGGUUUGCUGUCUCCUUUGCCUGUGGGUCUGGGGCCCCAGCCUGGGGGAGACCCGUGACUCCAGGCAUGCUAUCAGGACAACUUCAACCCGAGGGGAGAUCAGCUCUCCCGCAACCUGGUGCCGCUCUCUGACAGCACAACAGAACCUAAGGGGCUACAGGAUGAUUCAAGGAACAGUGUGCUACAGGACCUCGGUAUUCCUGCUGAGAGUCAUUUCCUGUGCUGGAUUUACCAUCACAGGGACCAGAUUUAUAGAAAAAUGAACAUGUAUUGUUGCUAAAUGGAGUUGGUCAUGGAGUGGAAACUAACAAUAUGUUCACCUCAAGAAGACCCUCACCAGAUGCAGCCCCUCUAUGUUGGACUUCCCAGCCUCCGGAAGUUAGAAAUGUGCUACAACCACUCAAGGUCUGCAAACAGAUUCCUAUUUAGAUGUUGUUGAGAGCUGAAUUUCUGGAACAAGAGAUAUAGAUUAAGACUGUUGUUACAUGUUGCCUACAUGACUUUCAAAAGCUUGAUUCCCAGUGGCGCUCUCAACAGCAGUCAUAAACAAUGUUUCGUUCUUGUCGCCCAGGCUGGAGUGUCAUUUUAACUUUUAAAACAUCCUGUUCUGUUUCAUUGCUCCCACAAAUGACUGAGAACAUGACAAAUUUGUCAUUCUGAUACUCUGAACCAGACCUCCAGUUUCAUUUAUGUUGUUGUAAAUGACAGGGUGUCUUUUGAAAAGUCUACACAAACUAUUUAGUUUUUAACCUCAAGGAACUAAAAAACAAAUGAACAAACAAACAAAAAAACUAAGCCAAAAGUUAACAAAAGGAACAAUAUAGUAGUACAGGUUACAGAAGAAAUAAUUGAAAGAGAGAAUAGAAUAACAAUGGAAAAAGAAAAUAAUUCACAGAUCCUUUGAAAGAAGCAGUGCACUGCUGCAAAUUCUGUGAAACAGGUGAAAAACUUUGACUUCCCAAAGUGUGAGAGGGGGUAAACCUAUCUCCAAAACACAUCCCCACUGGGGAAUUUAAAACUCUAGAUCAUGCAAGAAGGAUUUACCCUUACCUAGAGCUGAAACAGACUUAGGGAGUUGUGUGAAAUAUGAAAGUAGAAGUAGCAGUGGGAAGUGCCUUGCAGAUACUCACAGUCUCCAGCUGGAGCCCAGGGAAGCCAUCCUUGACUAUACCUCACAGAGCCCCUCAGGAAACAGUCAGCAGAAUUGGGGAGGUGUUUCAUGGCAAAGGAAGCAUCCAACUAAAAUUGGUAGUGGUUUUGACUGGGAACAAUUUUUUUUCAGUGGAGUCUGGGGAACAUUCAAGAGCCGCUGCAGAUAAAAGUGCAGGAGUGCAGCAGCUGCCCAGACAAAGUGGGCAGAUGAGGAGGAGCAAGGUUUGAAAAAGAAAGCUAUGCUUGCGUUCUCAGCAGGGAAGCCCACAGCUUGGGGCAAGGUCUGAAUGGGGCACUUGGGGACUCAGACUGGCUUUGUGAACUGCAUGGAAGCUAGGUGAGGCCUCUCUCUAUAGCCUAUCCACCACUUCCCUGGUGAACUAUAUGACACAGCAGAGAUGACCAAGAUCCCCUCUGGAACAUAACCCCACUGGACUGAAAACCACUGCUAAAUCACCCAAGUGGCUGUGGCAAGCCCUGCCUAAAGAGAGUUUGAGCCCAGAUCUGCCUAACCUUGCCCACCUGAUGGUAUUUCUCUACCUGCCCUCAUAGCCAAACACAAGAGACAGAAACUCUUGGGAGCUUUAUAGCCCUGCCCAUCUCCUUAGAAAUCAAAAUAAUCACCCUAGCCAACUUAGGGCAAGCUUAGAAUCCCCACUACUGCUGCAGCUGGUGCUUUCCAAAAAGCACCACCUCUUUGCUGAAGGACAAAGAACACAGGCCACUACAGCAACUCAUUACAGAAUAACCCUGACCCAGGAAGGAAAAUACAAUACCUAAUUUGACUUCCUGCAACAUCCUGGUUAAAGAGUUCCUGAGUGUGCUCAUGUGACAACUUCACUGCUGGCAUAGCCAGCAUUUGAGAAAGCCAGCACACUUAACAUAUCUACAACCAGACUCACGUAGUCUACUUCAUUGCCCUGCCACCUCUACCAGAGGAGGUGCUGGUAUCCAUGGUUGGGAGACCUGAAGAUGGAUCCCAUCACAGGACUCUUUGCCGACAUUCUCCAGCACUAGCCUGGCGCCUUGUAGCCCUGCUGGGUAGCUAGACCCAGAAGAGAAAUAACAAUAACUGCAAUCUAGUUCUCUAGAAGUCCCAUUCCAUAUUAAAAAAUGCUCAACAUCACUAAUUAUCAGGGUGAUGCAAAUUAAAACCACUAUGAGAUACUACCUUACUCCUGCAAGAAUGGCCAUAAUAAAAAAAAUCAAAAAAUAAUAUAUGUUGGCAUGGAUGUGUUGAAAACGGUAUACUGUUACAGUGAUAGUGGGAAUGUGAACUAGUACAACCACCAUGGAACAUAGUAUGAAGAUUCCUUAAAGAACUAAAAGUAGAACUAUCGUUUGAUCUGGCAAUCCCACUGCUGUGUAUCUACCCAGAGGAAAAGAAGUCAUUAUAUGAAAAAGACACUUGCACAUGCAUAUUUAUUGUGGCACAACUUAAAAUUCAAUAAUAUGGAACCAGUCUGAAUGCUUAUCAACCAAAGAGUAGAUAAAGAAAAUGUGGUAUAUAUACACCAUGGAAUACUACUCAGCCAUCAAAGGGAAAAAAAAUAAUGGCAUUCACAGCAACCUAAGUGGAGUUGGAGACCAUUAUUCUAAAUGAAGUAAUUCAGAAAUGGAAAACCAAAUAUCGUAUGUUCUCACUUAUAACUGGAAGCUAAGGUAUGAGGAUACAAAGGCAUAAGAAUGAUAUAAUGGACUUUGGGGACUCAAGGGGAAGGGUAGGAGGCAGGUGAGGGAUAAAAGACUACCCAUCGGUAUGUGGUCAAGUGAUCUUCAACAAGGGUGCCAAGAAUACACAAUGGGGGAAGGAUAGACUCUUCAACAAAUGUUGUAAAAGCUAGUUAUCCACAAGCAAAAAAAAUUAAAAGUAGAAUCUUAUCUCACAAACAAAAAUCAACUCAAAAUGUAUUAGUGAUUUAUACAUAAGACCUGUAACUGUAAAACUCCUAGAAGUCAACCUAUGAGGGAAUCUUCAUGACAUUGGGCUUGGGAAUGAUUUCUUGAAUAUGACACCAAAAGCACAGGCAAUAAAAACAAAGAAAAAAGUGGUACUAAAUGGAACUAAAGCUUCUGCACAUCCAAGAAAAUAACAGAAUGCAAAGGCAACCUAUGGAAUGGGAGAAAAUAUCUUUAAACCAUGUAUCUGAUAAGGGAUUAAUAUUAAUCCAAAAUGUAUGAGGAACUUCUAUAUCUGAACAGAAAAAACCCAAAUAACCAGAUUUUUAAAAAAUGAUCCAAGUCUUGAAUAGGUAUUUCUAUAAAGAAGAUACACAAAUUGUCAACAGGUACAUAAAAAGAUGCUCAACAAUACUAAUCAUCAAGGAAAUGCAAAUCAGAUAUUACCUCACAUUUGUUAGAAUGGCUAUUAUCAAAAACAAAACUAAUGUUAAAGUGUUUGUGAAAAUGUGAAAACAUUGGAAACGCAUACAUUGUGGGUAAAAAUCCAAAAUGCUGGAGCCACUGUGGAAAACAGUAUGGAGGUCUCUGAAAAAGUUCUGAAUAGAAUUACCAUACAAUCCAGCAAUUCCACUAUUGGGCAUAUAUUCAGAAUAAUUGAUAUCAGCAUCUUGAAGAGAUACCUAUACUCCCAUGUUUAUUGCAGCAUGGAUUUAAUAGGUGGGUCUUAGCCUAUUUUGUGGGCUACUGUUCAAAGCACAGUUUAAGAGCCCUUGUGGUGGUGCCACUGGAAUUCUCAAUGGCUCCCUCUGGUGCUGCCUAAUGGCGUUAAGGGAGCUUCUCCAAGCUACGCUUCUGAAUGUCUCUUGGUGGGGGAUGGUUUUGAUAUGGGAUUUCCCCAAUGCUUUCUCCAACUAUCUCUGCGUAUGGGAGGAGGGUCUCAGCAUGCAGGGACAAAGAGGCUUUCUGCCUUGGGCCAGUUGCUGUACCUGUGUCACUAGCCCAUCAACUAUGAUGUCUCUAUGCCGGAGAUGAUAAUCUUGAGCCUGUGGGUAAACAUGCUUGCUGUGACUGUAUCCCAUUUUCUAGUUCUUCUCACCCUCGUUUCUAUGUAGGAUGGAAAUAUAGCCUUGGGUUUUUGGGGAAGAAGAGGUUUCUCAUUUUUCAGCGCUGUCUCUUUUUCUAUCUAGUAACUCUAGAUAGAAAUCACUGCUUUAGUGAUUCUGGGCAUGUGGAUUGGGAAAGUCUCAGGCCUGGAAGAGACAGGAUGCUUUCCUGCCAAGAGUCUCAAUCAAAUUGUCUGGCCCAAGAUGCCAGGAUCCCUUUAUGUCAUAGGGUCUUCUAUUCAUUCCCGAGGAUGAAAAAAAUGACCAGGGUGCCUUUUGCUGUUAGAUUUGGAGUCAGGAAAUCCUGGGCCUGGAAGGCCUUCCAUUGUUUGGUGGGAUGACCAAGACAUCCUGCUUCUUUGUUGUUCCUCCAUUUCUGGAGUCCCUUACCAGUUUUCCUUCUUCUUACCACCUUUCAGAAUUUUUUUUUUUUUUUGGUUGCAUCUUGGAUUAUUUCCAGGGUAUAAAGUUGUGUUUAGUAAAUAAGAGAAGGGAGAAAUAACUCUAUGCCAUCUUGUAAGAUCUAUGAUUAGUUAGCUUUUUUAAAAAAAAUGUUAUAAUGAUGACUUUGUAAAUAUUUUUCUGCACCUCUAGCAAGUUUUGUUUUGUGUAUUUAAAGAUGGUUUCAUUAUGUGCAUACAAGUUCAGAAUUAUGAAAUUUUCUUGAUGAAUUGGUCAUUUCGUUAUUCUAAAUUUAUUAGGUUUUUUUUAUUGCUGACAUAAAACAACUCACCAUAAACAACAACCAUUCAUUAUUUCACAUUUCUCUAAGUCAGAAGUUCAGGAGGCUCAGCUGAGAUCAAGAUGAUGUAGGACUGUGUUCCUUAAUGGUGAUUCUCAGGAAAAGUCUACUUUCAAGCUUAUUAAGGUUGUGGACUAAAUUCUGUUUCUUAUAGGUAUAUGACUGAGAUCCCUUAUUCCUUGCUGUCAGCCAGGGAGGUUUUCUCAGCAUCUAGAGGCCACCUAUAUUCUCUAAACCAUGACCCUCUUCAUCUUCAAAUUAGUGACAGCAGUUUGAGUCCUUCUCAUGCUUCAAAUUUUUUUGAACUCUCUUUAUGCAUCCUCUUUUGACACAUCUCUAUUUUGCUUACAACCUAAGAAGAUGCUCCACUUUUAAAGACUAAUGUGAUUAGAUUAAGAGGAACUAAAUAAUCCAGGAUAACAUUACUACAUUAAACAUAUUUUUAAUGUAAUUUUGACCUUAUAAUUUAAAAAGUUCUUAGGUUCCAGUAAUUUGGAUGUGGAGAUCUUUGGGGUCCAUUAUUCUGUAUACUAUAUGAGAUGACACUCUCUCUUAUUAAUAAUGAUUUUUCUUAGUAAUUUUAUUUUAUAUGAUAUCAAUGUAGUCACCUUCACUUUCUUUUCAUACUUUAUAUUGCAUCAAUAAUUUUGCACAUCUGCAUUUUUGUAUAUAGCAUAUAGGUAUAUUUUUAAAUUUGAUUAUUUCUGUCUUAUAGGUGAAAUAUUUAGCUCAUUCACUUUUAUCAGAAAUAUGGCAUUUUUAGAUAUUCGCACAUAUUAAUUUUUGCUUUCUAUUUUAAAAUUUUCUAUAUCUCUUUCUUUAUUCUUCUUUUACUCAAGUUAUUUUGGGUUUUAUUUAUUUUUUUUUGGCUCUGUUGCCUUGGGAGCUAUAUACCUUACUUCUAUUUUUUUAGUAGUUACCCCCUUCCAGGACCUUUCACCUCACAGAUAUAACAAGGUCUGAAGAUAAUGCCUUAAUAUCUUUUCUAUACAAUAGAAAGACUUUUAACUCACUUAACCUAAAUUUAGCCUCUCAUCACUUACAUUCUAUUUUGUCUAAUGUCUAAGAUUUGUGCUUUAUUAAAACCUUCCUUAGAAACUUCUUUUUCAUUGAUUCAUGUUAAACCAUAUUUUUAUUAUUUUACACUGAUAAUUUAUUUGUUAAGAUUCCCCUGUUAAGUCUAUAAAUUUCUUUGCUUAAUAUUUUUUCCUUUGUCACAAAUAUUCAUUUUGGGUUAAUUUUUCCUCUUCUUGC
Molecule: long non-coding RNA, 6179 nt
Filed under: Homo sapiens (human)
Lineage: Eukaryota; Metazoa; Chordata; Mammalia; Primates; Hominidae
Description: LHRI_LNC1688.5
Source: RNAcentral